GACGAACGCUGGCGGCGUGCCUAACACAUGCAAGUCGAGCGAGAAGCUUUUGAACGAUCCUUCGGGUGAGUGAUAAAGUGGAAAGCGGCGGACGGGUGAGUAACGCGUGAGUAACCUGCCCAUAAGAGGGGGAUAACAACCGGAAACGGUUGCUAAUACCGCAUAUUAUGCUUUUGUCGCAUGACAGAGGUAUGAAAGAUUUAUCGCUUAUGGAUGGACUCGCGUCCAAUUAGCUAGUAGGUGGGGUAACGGCCUACCUAGGCGACGAUUGGUAGCCGAACUGAGAGGUUGAUCGGCCACAUUGGGACUGAGACACGGCCCAGACUCCUACGGGAGGCAGCAGUGGGGAAUAUUGCGCAAUGGGGGCAACCCUGACGCAGCAACGCCGCGUGAAGGAUGAAGGUUUUCGGAUCGUAAACUUCUGUCGUAAGGGACGAAUUUUGACGGUACUUACAAGGAAGCCACGGCUAACUACGUG
Molecule: ribosomal RNA, 478 nt
Filed under: uncultured bacterium
Lineage: Bacteria
Description: bacterial SSU rRNA
Rfam family: Bacterial small subunit ribosomal RNA
Source: RNAcentral